GGGGGUGAACGGUUUCGACAUCGGACGUCGAAGCAGGGGAAGCGGGCCGAGGAAGCUGUGAUGAUCUCGUUAACCAUACGCAGCAAAAAAACAAAUGCCAAUCAGAAGAUGGCCCGGGCGAACUUCGCCCUCGUUGCCUGAUCUAGCGAUCACGUAACGGGCGGAUAGCCCUGUCGGUCCAGGAUCGCCCCCGGCCUGGAAUCCGGCAUCGCUAGGGGGCUCAACCUCAGGAUCAGGUCACGGGAGACUGAGGGAAAUCCACGUGGCUGGGCUCGUCGCAGACUCGUCUCAGGGAUCUGCGGAGCCGAGAAAAGCGCACUGAGACUACGCCCGUAGAAGCCCUGUUGCCUCGCCGAUGGACCCGGGUUCGAUUCCCGGCACCUCCACUG
This 389-nucleotide transfer-messenger RNA is filed under the name Actinocrinis puniceicyclus. RNAcentral describes it as "Standard tmRNA". It matches the Rfam family "transfer-messenger RNA". Rfam says of the family: Bacterial tmRNA, also known as 10Sa RNA or SsrA, is named for its dual tRNA and mRNA-like properties. Its role is to liberate the mRNA from a stalled ribosome. Lineage: Bacteria; Bacillati; Actinomycetota; Actinomycetes; Catenulisporales; Actinospicaceae. The record is from Rfam by way of RNAcentral.